UCCAGCGUUGAAAUCUUAUCAUUUCAGAGAAAUGCAAAGCUUUGCUGCUGAUCUCUGCAGCUCAGAUCUGAAAUAACAGACUAAUUAUUUCUAUGUGCUUCCAGUUGCAGAGAGUCGAGGAAUCAAAUGAAGUUUGUUGGCAACUUUCAUGACCAACAGCAAACAGGAGCAUUCAGCUCUGAAUGCUUUGCUUUGUUCAUCCCACUGGAACUGAUUCCGAUGAGUCUAACGGAGCAGGAAGGGAAAUUUCCUGUCACAGGGCGAGUCCAGCUUUAUGCUCUGCAAUACGAGGAGGGAGAAUGUGAGGAAUGUCUGACAGUAGGACGAAGAGGAGGAGAAACUCUUAACGCCAAUAGAGAUUUGUUCCCUCGACCGCCUCAAACUAGAAGAGAAUAAAAGAAACAGCAUAACUGAAACAGUUUGUCAGUCUGUUAGUCUAGAUCUGGUGUGUCCAUGUCUAGUCUAACAGUGUCAACGUCAUGCAGAGACCUGGACACAAAGGCUGACAAAGCAGCAAAAUGUUGAGGCUGAUAAAGAAGAAAACUAACAGAUGAAGAUGAUGUCCAGCAUCCUGCUGCUCCUCAUCCUCAGCUCAUGUCUCUGUGCAGCAACAUUUGUAGUGAAUGUGACACAGAGCAGCUAUCAGGCAGAGGAGAAGCAGAACAUCACUCUGGAGUGGACCUUCACCACCAAGACUCAGGGAACAUGGAGAAAUCUGUUCAUCUUCUGCAGCUUGUUGACUCCUGAUAAACCGCGAGUUCUCUAUCAGGUCCAUGAAGGAGUUGAGAUUCCAGAGUCUCAGGAUAAACAGUUUUCAGGACGAGUCCAGAGCGACAAAGACGUCCUCAGAGAAGGACGAAUCAGACUCCAUGUGUCCAGACUGAGGACUGAAGACUCUGGUCGGUAUCUGUGUGAAGUGAAAACUAAAGAUGGAUUCAACUCUGGAAGAUGUCAACUCAGCGUUUCUGCAGCUGCUGAUCAGAUCCAAACUCAGAGACCAAGAUUGACUCCAGAACCAGAAGAACAAGGAUGGAUGAACAUCAUCAUCGUCUCUGUGGGACUGACAGCAGCACCUCUGAUUUUUUUUCUUUAUUAUUUUUUAGUGAAAUGUUGUAAACCAGUAGAUGUUAAUUUUAAUAAUUAUAAAGAGAGAAGAGAUAGUUCAGUCACUUUAUCAUUAGAAACAAUUUGAUCAGAUUUAGAGGAAUAUAAAUUUUCAGCAUCAAACAACAAAUUUAUUUAUUUGGUUGAUUAUUUUCAGCAGCUGAAAGAUUUUAAAUCUAAAACUCAACAUAAAUGAGCCUUAAAGAGAAUUUAAUCUAAGAUUAUAAUUUAUUGUUCAGUUCAGUGUUUCAGGUUUUAUCUGAUUUUCUUCCUUCUGUUCAUGAACCAGCAGCAUAGUGAUGUUCUGGUUCUGGUUCUGACCCGCUGACUGCUGGAGACAGACAUUCUGGACUCAACCAGAACCAGAACCAGAACCUGGAACCAGAACCAGAACCCUGAUCUGAGAUGCUUUAAGCUGCAGCAGCUGAUGAACCAGUGAAGUUCUGGAUCUGCUCCACUGGUUCUGGUUCUGAAGGUUCUGCUGUAAAUAAAUCCAGAUUUCUUCCCUCAUGUUGUCAGAACCUGAUUCUCUGCAGAACCUUUUAACAUCCAACAUGAGCUGCAGCCGUUUGGACCUCAGCAGAACCAGUCCAGCUGCUGGAUCUGACCUCAGACCAGUUCUACCAUCAAGGGUUCUACUGGAGCGCCACCUGGUGGUGGAGUUAGGAACUGUGAGCUUAUAGAGCUGAAGGUCUGAGUGAUGGACCGACUGGAUCCGUUCAGUUUGAUUUGUUCUGUUUUUAUAUUUUGUCCAUCAUUAAUAUUCAUCGUUAAGUUUUAUCUUCUAACAUUUAUGAUAAAUUGUUUGUUUUAUUGAUUAUAUAACAAAAUGCUGGACAAAAACAAAACAGUAAAACCCACAUUAAGGCCAAAUGAGUUUAUUUAUAGAAAGUGAUGAAGAGGAGCUGCUGCUUCAGAAAUGAUCAAUAUCUGGACGUCGAUCAGCUGAUCAAUUUUUGUAAUGAAUUUUUGUUACUUUAUAAAACUUAUUAAUUAAAAUGAUUAAUUUGC
Long non-coding RNA from Poeciliopsis prolifica (blackstripe livebearer), 2115 nucleotides. RefSeq lists it as uncharacterized. NCBI's taxonomy places the organism in Eukaryota, Metazoa, Chordata, Actinopteri, Cyprinodontiformes, Poeciliidae. The transcript has 4 exons. The record is from RefSeq and is a predicted model, not a curated record.